Chinchilla lanigera (long-tailed chinchilla) is the source of this 454-nucleotide long non-coding RNA. RefSeq lists it as uncharacterized. The record is from RefSeq and is a predicted model, not a curated record. Lineage: Eukaryota; Metazoa; Chordata; Mammalia; Rodentia; Chinchillidae. The transcript is spliced from 4 exons.
AGGAUCUGUAAAAGCAAAGAGUGUCUUCAUAUUUCAUUGAAGCACCGUGUGUAAGAUUUGACCCCUGGACUUGAGAAUUGAGUGCAGCAAUCGUAUGAACUAAAGAAAGGAGAUACAAUGAACCCGUGGAUAUUCUUCUCAUGUGACAUUUAUUCUGAAUGAAGCAUUAGGGCAGCAAAUAGUUUGUAACUUAAUAAACCACCUACACUCAGGACCUGGUGCAAUGGAUCUAAUUCGUAGGUUCAAUGGGUGCAUGAAUUAAUUUCAUUCAAAUCCUUGGUUUUUGACUGGUUAUCAUCAUUGAACAGCACAUGGCUCCUUUUUUAACUUAACUCUAUUAAGACCUGAUGUGGUCUUCCUGGCUUUUGACCUCCUGACCUCACUACCACACUCGCCAUCUUCAAUUCUGUGUUCCUCACAACCCAUUGCUUUUUUUUUUUUUUUUUUUUUUUUU